CGCACGGGUGAGUAACGCGUAUGCAACCUACCUACUACAGGGGAAUAGCCCGAAGAAAUUCGGAUUAAUGCCGCAUAAUACAGGGGCACCGCAUGGUGAUAUUUGUUAAAGAUUAAUUGGUAGUAGAUGGGCAUGCGUUCCAUUAGCCAGUUGGUGAGGUAACGGCUCACCAAAGCAACGAUGGAUAGGGGAACUGAGAGGUUUAUCCCCCACACUGGUACUGAGACACGGACCAG
This 236-nucleotide ribosomal RNA is filed under the name uncultured bacterium. RNAcentral describes it as "partial 16S ribosomal RNA". It matches the Rfam family "Bacterial small subunit ribosomal RNA", at positions 99 to 334 of the family's 1533-position model. The record is from RNAcentral.